Molecule: non-coding RNA, 125 nt
Organism: Triticum aestivum (bread wheat)
Lineage: Eukaryota; Viridiplantae; Streptophyta; Magnoliopsida; Poales; Poaceae
Source: Rfam
UAAGUACUCCCUCCGUUCGGAAAUAUUUGUCGAAGGAAAGCAUAAAAAUGAAUGUAUCUAAAACUAGAAUAUGUCUAGAUACAUCCAUUCCUUCGACAAAUAUUUUCGGAGAGAGGGAGUAUUUG